GGGCCUGUAGCGCAGCUGGUAGAGCGUCUCCAUGGCAUGGAGAAGGUCAGGGGUUCGAGUCCCCUCAGGUCCACCA
This 76-nucleotide transfer RNA is filed under the name Ktedonospora formicarum. Its description in RNAcentral is "tRNA-Ala". It matches the Rfam family "tRNA". From Rfam's summary of the family: Transfer RNA (tRNA) molecules are approximately 80 nucleotides in length. Their secondary structure includes four short double-helical elements and three loops (D, anti-codon, and T loops). The record is from RNAcentral. Lineage: Bacteria; Bacillati; Chloroflexota; Ktedonobacteria; Ktedonobacterales; Ktedonobacteraceae. RNAcentral also lists the same sequence under 3 other names.